This 350-nucleotide unclassified non-coding RNA is filed under the name Ramicandelaber sp. RNAcentral describes it as "partial internal transcribed spacer region". The stretch from base 1 to 46 matches the Rfam family "Eukaryotic small subunit ribosomal RNA", at positions 1786 to 1831 of the family's 1831-position model. Lineage: Eukaryota; Fungi; Kickxellomycota; Ramicandelaberales; Ramicandelaberaceae. The record is from RNAcentral.
AAGUCGUAACAAGGUCUCCGUUGGUGAACCAGCGGAGGGAUCAUUACCAAUUUUAUUAUAUUAGUUUGGGUAGGUCUGUCUUCGGAGAGGCGUUACUCACAACUACUAUGUAAAUGUUGAACUAGAUCAAUCAGUGUGGAUUGCUUGGGAAAGGCGAUGAUGUAACUAUAUUAUAUCUCCGGACAGGCAAGCCCCACACUGGUAACCCUUUUCAAUUAUACAAUUCGUACAUACUACAAAUACAAACAAAUUCUAUUAAUAGGACUUAUUAAUGGGCUGAGUGGGUAAAAUCCUCGGCUCUAUAAAUUUAUAACAAAAUACAACUUUCAGCAAUGGAUCUCUAGGCUCUC